CCUACCCAUACCACCUGCAUGGAGCUCCUUCCUGUUAGCUUUCUUACCUGUGUCCUCUAGCACCUCCCUGAGACCCCGAGCACAAUCGGGGUCAAGCUCCACAUUCUGUCUAAGGUUCCAUGACCUGCCCCACCCCUCCUUCUGUGGGGAGAUGUCAACAGUCCAAGGGCCCCACUGUGAUACUCUUACGAAGGGUGGCAGCUGCUCAGAGGAAUAGGCAUCCCACGGACCCUCCUCACCAGCACUCGGCUUCCGGCACUGCGCUAUUCUCUGGAAAGAUAACUACCCAUAGUCCUCUGGUGCGUCCUGAACACUCAGUUGGAGGAAGAUUCUGCCUGAGGAGGCAGUGCGAAGAGCCUGGGGUCUGAUGCCCCAGUGGGCGCGCCACGAAGCUUCACCCCAUCACAAGCUCAGAACAUCUUGAGCAAGUUGCCUCAGUUUCCCAUCUGGAGGGUGGGUCAGCAGCCUGAAGCUUAAGUCGCAAUGACCGUCAGCCAGUGAAGGUUUGCCAGGAGCCUCCUGACUGCUUCCCACACGGGCUUGAAAUGGAUGCUAAGGACGACAGACACCAUGCUCAGCCCCAAAUGGGACAUCUGCAUCACCCAGGAGUCACUGAACAAGAGAAGAUGAGAGGCCCAAGCGUCGAGGAACUCAGGCCAAUCCCCAGUGUAGAAAGCUGCACAGUCACGUUCAAAUGCCACUCCACCUGACUGGGAACCUGUUUCCUUCCCACCAUACCUGUCAAACAAGUGGACUCACUCGGAGCUCCAGUGCUGAGAGCAGGUGGGGCCCCCUCAAGGGAGCUUCUGCUGGCUCUGGCCACAGCCCACUGGAUGGACAGAUGGGUGAAUGGGCAGACAGAUGGACAUACGGACGGACAGAGGCCAGCUGCUUCACUCUGCUCUAAUCACCAGGCCCCUCGGCGGACUCGGUAAAUGCCCCGCUGCUGCUGAGCCGAAGGCUUUCAGGGCCUGCCUGUCACCGUGUUUUACAGCCCUCUUGUUGAAGAGCGGAAUCUGUAUUGAUUUCAGAACAACUCAAGCUGUAAAUUACUGGCCGCGAUCGGCUUGGUAACCCUGAGAUGAGAAUCUAUUGACUGGACCGGGGGCUUAAAUCUAAUUAUCGUCCCAGGAAAACCAUUGGCAGAGCUGCUCAAUGCCUGUGCGGAAGAGAACAGUUAAACAGCCCAGGGCUACGUGGGGGGUGGGGGUGGGGCAGAGAUCUAGAACGAUCCGGGGUCUCUGCGGAGCCUAAGAAACUGCCUUGGCCACCAAUCGAUUGACCUUGAGUCACUUCUGUAAUUACCAACGGCGAUGUUACUACGAUAGCGUGGUGCCCCAUGGCUCUGGGGCCUGGGCACCUCAUGCAGCCUGUUGUUCAGCUUCCUCAAACCAGUUUCUUCAUCUCUACAUAGAGGGAGCCUUGGUGCAUUUCUACCUGUACCUCAGGAAGGAGAGAAAACCGCCAGCCAUGGGAGCGGCUUCGCCCAAGGGCACACAGCUACCUCGGAAUGCAGACCUUAAACCGGUCCCUCACUGCUGGGUGGCUCAAUGGUUAGGGGUGCCUGCCUGCGUGCGGUUACCGGCACCCUGUGCGGUGGCUCACAGUCACCUGGACGUGAGGCGGCGUGCUGGCCUUGACAAGAACGUCAUCCAUGGGCUUCUAUAUCUGAACGCUGGGUAGCUCAGACUGGAGCUGUUUGAAAGGGUUAGAAGGGUUCGGGGGUGUUGCUGGUUGGAGGGAGUCUGUCACUGGGGUUAGGCUUUGAGGUUUUGAAGGGUGAAUGCCAAUCACAGGGUGUCUCUCUCUGACUACAGGUCAGGACGUAGCUCCCAGCCACUGCUCCGUUGCACCAUGGGCCCUGACAUGAUAGUAGCAGACUAAGCGUCCGAAACUGUAACACACACAUGUACACACACACAGACACACACACACCACACACACAGACAUACAGACACACAGACACACUCACGGGUUAAAUGGUUUACUUGAUAAGAGUUGCCGUGGUCAUGGCUUCCCCUCCAGGCAGUAGAACACUGGCUAAGACAUCUGUUGUGUGAAUGGCUGAACUUCACCCCAGAACUUGCACUGGAAGCCCCGGGCUGCCAGGCGUGUGUGCCUCUGUCAGGGCCCCGAAGAGAGGAACGACACCUGGGGAGACGGGGGCUUUUGCCUUCUGGGGCCGAUGAGGCAGUUUCCCCUCCUGUCUCAAGUGCCUCUCACCCCUCGGCAACACGGAAUCUAACGGUGGCCACCAUGGCUGCGUGGCGUCAGGUGCUCAAUGCUCAACUUCCAUUUCACAGAGACUGAAGAGAUGGUGGAUACGGUUUUUCUUGGCGGCAUGGCCGUCUUCCUUCACACAGUGCCCAAGUGUACGCCCUCACGGGUGUUUAAGUGGGGAGCAGGGGUUUCCAGCAGUCGAUCUGAUCCUUCCAGCCUGCCUACCUGCCUGGCACCGCUGACCCUGACUGGGCAGUCUCUGCCCAUCCUGGAAGCUGCAAAAGAUGUCUCCAUCUUCUUCUGCGAGCGGGUUGUUCCGUGCUUGCCUCCACCAUGAGUCUGGGAGCUUUAGGGCUCUGAGGAUGAAAUGGUCUCCGAGCCAUUUGCCGAACCGCGCAGCCCGAUUUGUUUUUGCCUCCUUCCCUUUAGUCGCAAGAGUAAGGCAGGUCGCCAGGCGUCACAAUUUUCUCUGCCCAUUGGCUGUCCCUUGGUCCAUCUCCCCGGGUUGCUUGGGUGAGCGGAAGCUGAGGCGGGACCGUAUUCUGCCGGUUUGUAUCAGCUCCGCUACUGUGGUAGCUCUUUGGUCGCUGUGCAUUUGGUCACUGAGGUAGGCAUAACUUGUGAGGCUGCCGCUUUAGUUCAUCAGGCUGUGUCAUGACACAAAGGCCCAGCCCAGGGGUUGCCUCCUGACCAGAACGCACCGUCUUGUGCAGGCUCCGCAGGGUCGUGGGAAGUGGAGGGUACACGGGCUUUGAAAUGAAUGGCAGUGGAGGUUUUGGUUUUGGCCCUGUGCUGGGGUGCGGGAUGCAAGUUCUGGUCCCAUCCACGGCAAGUCACCGUGGCUGAUCUUCCUUUGCUGGGCCACCUGAGCAUACGGUGUGUGUGAUUAUCGAUGCCCCGAACCCUGAGAGUUGUAAUGGUCUCACAUCUUGCUGAAGGCAGGGAUCCAUGAAGAGGAAAAGUUAAGAUUCAAACAGAGCCAAAGAUUAAGCUUUUGGGAAAUCUAGGUAAUGGAGAGAGAUGAAUCUUACUUGCACUGUGCACAAUGCCUCAGAGUUCUGACUGACUUGACAAGAAAUGAGGGUGCUAGGAAACUCGACAGAUUUGUACCCCUGAUGGGGCAUGGACUUGGGUUCAAUCACACACGCGCACACACACACACACACACACACACACACACACACACACACAAACACACACGCAUGCACGCAACCACGAGUGUGCACGCUACAUGUGAAGUUGCAGUGCAGUUACCAGAUAGCUUGCCUGAAGGAAUCUUCACAAAGGCCUGCCCAAGUUUGGAACAAUCAGCAGUCCCCCGUAGCAGCACUGCCAUCUCCUGCUGGGGCGUGACCACCAGCUACCACUUAGCAGAGCUUGCUGUGUGACCUACAGGCCACAUUGGCCUUGCGGUCACCAUGGUGAAAUAAACAGACGGUACCUCCCUGUCCACGGUGAUGGUGGGAAGUGAGUGUCCCUGUAGAAGAGGGGAGACCUCGGGUGAGAUCCCAGCUAUCCACUCCCCACUGUCCCCAGCUACGUGUGGUCCUGGGGUUUGAGAGAGUCUAGGGAGCAGACAUUGAAGGAUGGGACUCCGUUUGUCUGCGAGCUUGCUGCUCAAGUUGGGGUGGGACACUUAGGUGAUGGACCUCACCCAGGUCCACCAAGCCGGCUUCUGGUGGCAUCACUGGAUGGCUGGUGUCUGAUCUGGGCAUGCCACCAAGUUUUAACGUGUAUAGUUGCAGAGCGGUGGCCAGUUUUCCCUUCUUCCUGGUUAAGGAAGAGCACGCAUGUAUCCUGCGUGGGGCAGGCAAAGUGGCCUGGGUGUUUGCAGUCUUUUUGUGAAGGAGUUGCAAGGGGGAGCAGACUGUGCACGAAUCCCAACACCGGUUGCCACCGGUUAACAAGAUGGAAUCUCCUACAGUUUGGAAUGUUGUUUCUCUGGCCCCCUAAAUCCCCUGUGGCCAUGAUCCCUUCUCUAAUUCCCGGUACUCGCUUUCAAACCGAACACUAUGAUUUCAGUUCGUGUAUAUCUCCCAGUGUAGUCGACAAGGCUGUGGCACUUCUGAAGCCCAGCUGCCCACACCCCAGGAGUGCGUCACCAUACCUGGCUAAACGCUUUGCUACCGACAACAAAAACAUUCCCGCCAACAUGGCUACCUACACGUGUGCUAGCAAGGUCGGCGAUGGUCACACUAAGGUGGCUGGAAUACAGGCAUUGUGAGGACUGCCGCCAACCUGCUUGGGUCCCGUGGUCUCAGGGGGGACAGCCUUAUAGGACAAUUCUACCUCACGUUCUCGGAGCGUGCUCAGCAUGGACUAGCAGCUCAGUAAACAACCACAUAGCUAGGCCACAGGAUAACUGGGCAUCACAGGCAUUUGGAGUCCCAUAAAACCUUACGACUGAUCACCCUGUGUACGUGUGGGUCAUAACUUCCCACUUUUUUCAAAAUAAGCAUCUGUGUAAGUGUAUGUGGGUGUGGGUGUGUGUGCGCACACAUGUGUGCGAGCAUGCAUGUGAGCAUGCAUGUGUGUGUCCACACUCGAGUGCACACAUGCUUGUGAGUGCGUGAGAGCACGUGUGUGCACACGAAUGUGUGAUGUUGCAUGAGUCCAGGCAUGCAUAUGCCACACAGCACAUGUGGAGGUCAGAGGACGAUCUUGGGUGUAAGUCGGUGCUGCUCUCUCUUUGGAGGCCCCAGUGUCUCUUUUGCCACCUUGUAUGCCAGGCUAGCUGGCUAUCCAAGAAGUCUGAGAGCUGGGAUUGCACACGCUCAGGAGUGCACACACUGGCUUUGGGGAGCGGGGUUCCUGCAGGGUUGAGCAGGGAACCUCACACUUGUUGAACAAGAGAGGACUUUUACCCAAGUAGUGUUAAUGUUACCCAAGUAGUGUUUGUGUUUACACACCCGGUGGAAAGUUAAUCCCUGGGGCCUAUGGGAGCUGUCAGAGCCAGUUAGUGGAAUAGCCUUGAGCAUCCUGAGAGCUGGCCUCGGAGUUACUGUGCCACCUCGACGUGAGAACCCAUAGAACAGGCUCCUUCUUGGACAGGGGGUGGGAGUGGGCUUACCAGAACCCGCCCAUUCUUUCCACCUUGAGUUUCUAGGAACCAGGAAGCACAGUGUCAUGACCGGGUACAGGGUGACAUCUAGUGGUCAGAAGGGGAAGUGGAUGUCCUUUUUAAGGCUUGGAUGCUGGUGUGAAGCCAUGGAGAGGGGCCAUGGAGGCAGCUCUGGCUCAGCAGGUAAAGCGCCUGCUGUGUGAGUGCAGAGAGCUGAGUCUGGCUCUCCAGAGUCCGUGGAAUAGCUGGGUGUGGCAGCGCGUAUGUGUAACUAGCUCUAAACACGUGUGCAUGGAAGCGAUACUGCGUGGACUCAGCAGGUGUGUGCAUGAAUGUGUGUCAAUUAAAAAAAAAAGAGGCCAUGAAUUCGAGGCGUGGAGGGAACAUGAGGAAGGGGGAGAGGUGGAAAUGAUGUAAAUACACGAAAUUCUCAAACAUUUUUAUUAAAAAACCUUUUGGGGAAACCAGACAUGCACUAGACAUUAAAUAAACUGGGUGAGACUGUGUCUAGAACAUUGGAUAAGGAAUGUUUCAGGACUAAGAUUUCCACUCUUGUAUUUUCCACUCCCUUUGUAUUCUGACCUCCAUGGGUGUCUCAGAGCCAGUGCUUUUCCAAAGUGACUUUUGGAUCUUCGAGGUCACCUUCUGGGUCUCUGCAUCUUUUCUUUCAUCUUAAAGGAGAGGGAAGCACACCUUAGCGGGGAGUUCUUGACAGCCAUUGCGAGAAGCCAUAUGCCACACAGAUAUUUGGAAAGAUGGCUAAGCUCACGGGUCCACAUCUUCAGCUUCUGUGGUCCCAGAGAAGGCAGCAGAGCACGUGGGUGACAGACAAGAAGCCGCAAAGGACAAACGGCGACCUGGAAUCAUCCACCCACACAGGAUGGAUGUAUGACAGCCACAGCAUAAGACUGGUGGGCUGCAGCACAGAUGGUUCCACCCCGAGGGCCUCUGCAGCUGGGUUCCAAUUUUGUGUGUGCGCGUGUGCACUCGAGCGAGAGCAUUAGGUUUUUCUAUUUGAAUAUAUAUUUCACGCAAAUACAUUUGCUCUCUCAUACAUAGUUAAUAUAGUCGCUUACCACCAACUGCUAGCAGAACCUUUUUGUAGCGUAAACACAUCUGAGGACAACUUUUCAACUCUUCGAACAGGUAGAACUUCAUGGAUCGCACGGUUGUCCCCUUAGUCACCUGCCUUCACGCCCUUGACUCAGUCCCCACGCCGGGUCUCUACUGGACAUAACUACCAGGAUGGGUCACUCAAGACAUCAUCAGAGGAGCCUCUUUGUAUGGCCAACUGGUGCAGAAGAUUUCAUCAGGAGACAGUGGAGCCGGGGGAGCGGAGCUGAGCAGAUAGGCUACAACAGUUGGUAUAUAGUUUGGAGCUGCUGGUAUUGGGAAAACUGGGUGAAGGGACUAUAAAAGCACACUGUUGGGGAAUGGCUGGAAGAAACGUCUGAAGAAGGGUUUGGCUGGAAACCAAACCCGGAUCACUGGCAAGGAGUCAAGAGAACUGGUUACUAUUCUAACAUAGGCAGGAAAAGGAGAGAUGGAUACUUUGUUUCAAAAAGCCCAAAGCCUUUGCUGAAGGCUGGGAUUGGGACACGCCCCAAGUGGUUUUCAGCAGCAUUUUUCCCCUCCUUUUCCUCAUUCUGGGCUAUUUUGUUUAUAAAAAGGCUGAAAGAGUGGCUGACAACUGGAAAAAACAGGUGAAAAUGGAGAAGGUUGGGAAUCAAAUCUGGAAGGAAAUGGAAGGAAAGUAAGAGGGUCGGUUCCUCUCCUUUCUGAAAAAGCAACAACCAUUGGUUGUGCAGCUAGAGAAACCGAAAGUAGAGGUAGACAAACUUGGAGAACAAACAGGUUAAUUCCCAGGGAUGGAACCAGAGAGAUGGAGUCCCCACCUCCCCACCCCCACCCCACCCCACCCCCAGGUGAAAGAGGGCAAGGAACUGUGUCAGAGGGCAGCCUAGUCGAAGAAAUGGAAAAGCAAGAGUAUGGUCAGGUGAGACAGCCUUUUUCAGGAGACAGGGUUAAAUCCACAGCACGCCUGGAGGACAGGCAGCCCCAGGGUCACGAAAAUCACCUACAGCAUUCCCUGCAGUUGCACCUCGCAUGCCUGCCGACGGGGAUGAUCCACACGGCUAUGACAAGAUAGGGCAGCAUCCUGUAGAAAUGGCGGACCCAAGGUGCUUUAAAGAGGCAAUGAUGUCUCACUUGCCCAGUGUGAAACAAACUCUAAAUAAGGAGGCUUCUCAAAAUAGAAUUAUUCCCCAAUGCUGGGGGUGGGGGUGGAUUGGAAACAGCUGUACUAAGAGGCCAAUCCUCAAUGACAAUUGUCAUGUUGGAGAGAAGCAGCCAGCAAUUUGUAAGAGCACAAAAGAGAGAGGGCAAGCAAUAAAACGAGGGGUCAGUUGAUAGCUGAAGGUCGGUAGGCUGUCGUGUAAGAAGGGGGUUCCGUUUGAAGAGGCAAUCAUAGAACAACAACAUCGUUCAGCACCUUUAAGGAGAGCUUGGGACAGACUUGAGGAGAAGUCCGCACCAUCUACAAAAAUUAUACAAGGCUCGGUAAGUUUUCACUGACUUUUUUUUUUUUUUUUUUUUUUUUACAAAAAUUAGGCUCAGCUGCAAACAAAGCCACAUCAGACCCUGAUCUGAGACUAGUGCCUCGGUAUUUGAAAAUGCAAAUAUGGAAUGGGAAAAAAGUUACUAGUCUAUUAAGGGGGGAAGGUAGCCCCUAUGGAAGAGUGGAUCGGGGAGACGACAGAUAGGGGUUCUAGCACACACUAUGCUGUUGAUAACUGGGCAAACCAUAACUAAAGGCUCUAGACAUCAAAAUGCAGAGUGCUUUAGCCGCAGGGUAUAUAUGGCAGCGUGCAACAAAAUUGUGUACAAGGACAACAUUUUCUCUAAAUCGGAAUCAUAAAGAAGGCCAAGGCUCCCGUGGGUGAGCCGGCAACGUGGCAGGGGUUACCAUUGGACCAAUGAGUGUAGGUCCAAGAGAGAUCCAAGGCAAUCUCUUGCCAUUUGGGAAACAAGAUGGGGGCCUAGCUUGAGGCCCCACAGCCAAAGUACAAGCCGUUUGCCCCGUGUCAGCCAGAAAAUAACAAGCAAGCAGAAAAGGCUCAACUAAGAAGCGUCGCACAUCUACUAGGCAGUCCUGCUCUCAACUUGGCCACAGAGAAACGUCUUACACUAUCUCCUGAAAUGCAGCUUUGUAGAAUAACUGUUGGAGUUUAUGUGGGGAUGACCUUGGGGAGGAGAAGUUCGACUUCCCAAGGAUCCAUUGUUAAGCCAGGAAUAAUGGAAGAAGAUCUGAAGGGGGGGAUGAAAAUAAUGGCUUACUUAAAAAAAAACCAAAAAAAAAAAAAACCAAAACAAACAAACAAACAACCAAAACACUGCAUUUGAACACAGGUGAUGGGAUCUCUCAGCUCUUACCAUUCAUUUUCCUCCAUCAAAGGCUGAGCUGAGCUGCCUCCAUAGAACCAUCAGGAAGGUAUGUGGAAGUCCUGGAAAACGUGCAUUCCAGCAAACAGUUGUUAAUGAUCAGAGGCCAAAAUUAAAGUUGCCAGUGAAUGACAUUGAAAUAGAGUUUGGCGGAUGCAGGAGCUGUCGUGACUAUCACUCCACAAACACCUCAGUAUUCAGAGCAGGUGCUUCAGAAGGUUUAUACCCAGUUUCUAGGAGUUGGAAAUCUCAGAUAAAAUGGGAUGCGUGGUGGGUUCCACAUUGAUAACUGUAUUUCAGGGUCAGCGUGGGACCAGAAGGUCAACUGGGAAAGUUAUAGGACCUUCUGGCCUGAAAUAGCCAUACAUUUAUGGAAACGGGAUUGAUUUAAAAAGUAAAGGCCCUUUGAGGCUGAGAAAGAAGGGAUUGGGCCAGCAGAAGAGAAGAGAAAGCAUCUGGGGCAAAAGAUGUUGUUAGGAGAGAGUGGAGCUGGGAGAAUCACAGCUGAGGAGGGUGCAAUGGUUGGUAUAGCCUUGGAGCUGCUGUUAGUGGGAAAAUGGGGAGAAGGGACCAUUUAAGCAGACCGUUGGGAAACCGAGGGAGGAACACCUGGGAGAAAGCUCUGGAGAAGGGCCUGGGCUGCAAACCGGGAGGAGGGCAGACAACGAGGUAAGAGAACCGGUUGCCGUUCGCACACAGCUAGGCCUUUUGCCAUGCAUGGUGACUAACGUUAUUGAUCAGAGCAGCAGCCAGUGGAGGGCUGGCUCACACUCACAUGCACACACUUGUUACAUUCCCUCCCAGGCAGCUGAGGUUCAGACAGUGUUGUAGAGCGGAGGGCAAGGGGGAGAGGGGAAGACACUGUAAGGACAGAAGGGUGGGGAGGAUUGCAGCAGAGGAAACCACUGCACCAUCGGAACCCAAAACAGCCUCAGUUGCCGCCACAAGCUAAAGCCAUCUGGUGUGGAGUGGCUCUCAAGCCCCCACCAGGCAGAGAAGCCAUAGGGUGCAAUCUCCGGCCCGUCAACUGUGAGCCAAUGGAUGAUCUCACACACGAGUAUAAGGGCAGCUGGAUCCUGUCAGCUGGGCAUGGUGGCAGCAUCUUUAAUUCCAGCACUCGCAAAGCAGAGGCAGGUGGAUCUCUCAGUUCAAAGCUAGCCCAGUCUAUACAUAGCAUGUUCCAGGACAGCCAAGACAACAUCAUAGAGACCCUGUCUCAAAACAGAAAGAGAGAAAGAGAGAGAGAGAGAGAGAAAGAGGGACACAGAGAUGACAGAGGACAGCUCUGGGAAGUCAGUGGGAGGUGUGGGUCGAAUAUGUUCACAUACAGUUUCCUGAAGGAUUCAUAAAAUGUAUUAAUACUGCACUAUACUUCAUAGUUGAAACAAGCAAUCCGCUAUGCACUUAGCAUCACCUUAGCCUUUCAGCACUGUUAGAGCUUCAUCCAUGACUGAAGCCAUGACAGCAGGCUCCCUCCCCAACAGAUGCCUAAGCAGAGCAGGGUGCCUGCUUCUUAGAGCGUCAGUCUGAAGUGGAUACAAAUAACUUCAGGACAUAAAGUAAAAAGUCAUGAAAAGGCACCAGAUAUUGCCAUUGGUGGAGCCAUGACAUUGAUAUCAUGUUGCUGUCUCAUGAUACAAAGGAAGGCCCUGAAAUAAUAGUUAUCGGUGUGCAAGUUUGUUCCACUGAUAGACUGCUACAUCAAUGAAAAACCAUUCCAAAGGGGAAGGCCCAUGUUUAAGCUCUGGGACAGCACCUCACGUGAUGUCCUCAGAACUAUCUUCUUCCCCUGGUUUUUUUUAGCCCAUCCUGUCCCACUGUGACACAACCCAGAGGCUGGAGAAUUUAUGUGAAAAACACUUACUAUCUCUAGAAUCUGGAACGUCUGACAUCGAGGGUGCAGUGGUAACCAGUCUGGCCCAGACUAUCAUCCCAUAGCGCCUCCAGGUGAGAGAGAGCAGGCUCACUCUACCUCACAUCAACCCACCGCCACAGCAUCCCUUUGUGACAGCCGCACUGUCAGAGAGAACUCCCCGGAAACACCCCACGUCUCGGCCUAAUGAGGUACUGCAAAUUACAAUCCCAACCCACACGCCUUGGGGAACUCCACUCACCCACAGCCACCUCGAAGAGGCAGCCACCCUGUCAGAGCGAGCCGGGAAGCCUCCCUGUGCAACGGUUCUAGUUUCAGACCAAUGUCGGGAGCCAGCGGGUAAGUCUUACACCCAGUAGCAGAGUUCCCGGACAGGGUCCCUGGUUCCACGUCCUGCAGUAACCUGUCCCAAGAGGCAUCCGUGAGAGGAUACCCACAACUAAGGGCAGCAUGCAUGGGUGUGUGCCCGGUGGUCAUGUGAGGCUCUCAACAGAGUUCAAAAAUUAUACCGUAAGUGCUGAUGGUGGUUUCUGCUCCGGCAUCUCCCCCCAGGUCUUCCCUGCCUCCCUGACUCUUCCAACACCAGGCCCCCUUUCUCUUUCUUUUCACAAAGAGGCAAGUACAAAUGAAAAGCAAACAAACAUAAAAAGGCAACAAGAAAACAUGAUAGGCAAACAAGACUAGUAACACAGAGAGAGGAAGAGAACAGGAGAGAGAGAAAAAGAGGGGGAUGGAGGGGAGAGGGAGGGGGAAAGGAGAGGGAGGUGAGAGGAGGAGGGAGGGGGGAGGGAGAGGAGGGGAGAGGGAGGGGGAGGGAGAGAGAGAGAACACAACACAAAUCUCAAGCCAAGAAACAUGAGACAAAAAAAUCUACAAGGAUGCCAUUGAGUUCCUUUUCUGGUGGCCAUAUGGUGCUAGGCAUUGGACCAAUCCUUAAAUGUAGUUUAUAUACCCAGAGAGACUGGAGGAAACUCAUUUCUCCACUCAGACCCCCUUUUUUUGUAAUUUGGUAAGGGAUUGGGGGAGCUCAUGUCCAAUUCCCCCAGCAGGUGCUGCAAGCAUGUCUGCUUUGACCCUGUGCACCAGAAAACCUGAGUAAAUGGUGGUUAUUCUGGAGCAUGAGAAGGCGGCAUUGAGUAUCGGCCUCCGCCUCCUGUUCCUGAAGUGAGCGAGAGCUCACAGAAUCACGCCAGUGCACACAGAGUCCAACUCUCAAACCCGAGAGGCCAGAGAGACCCCAGGGGUUGACUGGAGGAUCCUCUUGUGUGGAAUGGAUAUUUGAAGUAUAGGUACGGGGAUUUAUUGGAAACAGCAUAAGGCACUCAGUGACCCAGGCAGGGCACAGCCAAGACUCGGAUGAGCCUCAUCGGCCAUGUGCCAGCCUGGGCUUUGUGAGCACGCAGACAGCUGCAGAGAGAGCUGGGCAGAGAGAAGGGGUUGCAGAAGGGGUAUCUUAGAAUGAUGUGUGUGCUCCAUUAACUCUUCAUGCCCCAGAAGAAUGUGAAGUGGAGAUUUGAAGCUCACUUCUUCCCACCGGGGGGGGGGGGGGCAUCGGCUGAGAGCUGAGAGCAGCAUGUACUUAUUCCCAGAACAGCCUGAGCACAGCGGCGCGCUCGGUGGACAACGACUGGGUGCGCGGUGCUCCUCUGUCUAGGAGGUAACGGAACUAGAGCCUCCACAGAGCUGUGUGGAGCGUGAGGCUUUAUUGCCUUAGGUCAGACACCCAGGCAGGGAUGGGCAGACUCACAGGGUUAGUGUUUCCUCCUCAGCCCGCCCUGGUCCACAGUUCAGCUGCCUCAGAGUCUCUGAGUGGUGUCCACUGUCUUGGUCUCCAUGCCCCGCCCCCACCCCUGCAGAGGCUUCUCAGGGUGAGGGCAGGAGGACACCC
Rattus norvegicus (Norway rat) is the source of this 12483-nucleotide non-coding RNA. NCBI's taxonomy places the organism in Eukaryota, Metazoa, Chordata, Mammalia, Rodentia, Muridae. The record is from RefSeq and is a predicted model, not a curated record.